This 774-nucleotide ribosomal RNA is filed under the name uncultured Neocallimastigales. RNAcentral describes it as "partial large subunit ribosomal RNA". It matches the Rfam family "Eukaryotic large subunit ribosomal RNA", at positions 23 to 633 of the family's 3401-position model. Lineage: Eukaryota; Fungi; Neocallimastigomycota; Neocallimastigomycetes; Neocallimastigales. The record is from RNAcentral.
AGAGAGAGACAUGCGCGCAUAUCAAUAAGCGGAGGAAAAGAAACUAACAAGGAUUCCCCUAGUAACGGCGAGUGAAGCGGGAAGAGCUCAAAUUUGAAAUCUUAAAGGGUUUCCCUUUACGAAUUGUAGUUUAAAGAAGUGUUUUCUGUUGAGGUUUUGGUAAAAGUUCUUUGGAAUAGGACAUCAUAGAGGGUGAGAAUCCCGUAUUUGACCUUUACUUUCAACUUUGUGAUACACUUUCAAAGAGUCGGAUUGUUUGGGAAUGCAGUCCAAAAUGGGUGGUAAAUUUCAUCUAAAGCUAAAUAUUGGCGAGAGACCGAUAGCGAACAAGUACCGUGAGGGAAAGAUGAAAAGAACUUUGAAAAGAGAGUUAAACAGUACGUGAAAUUGUCAAAAGGGAAGCGUUUGACACCAGUGUUGUUUUUCUGAAAAUCAAUUAAAGAACUGUUUAUGCUAAGUUGUUUAGACUUUAUCAGCUAACUGUUUAGUUUUGAGCUAUUCUUUAAUGCACUUUUCAGUUAACAAGUCAACAUCAAUUUCUUUUGCUGUAAAAAAGCUUGAGGAAGGUGGCUUGAGAUUCGUCUUAAGUGUUUAUAGCCUCUUGCCUAUGCAGUCGGAGAGAUUGAGGUCUGCAGCGUAGAUCCUUCGGGGCUAAAUGCAUUUGUGCUAAGUUAUAGCAUUUUAUAGACAACUUGUUGACUAUGAUUUGUCUUGUAGCUUACUCGCUUAUGUUAUUUUACCUACGCUUAGGAUGUUGAAGACUCUACAGAGAUA